AGCUAGAAACCUUGCCUGAGAU
Molecule: microRNA, 22 nt
Filed under: Salmo salar (Atlantic salmon)
Lineage: Eukaryota; Metazoa; Chordata; Actinopteri; Salmoniformes; Salmonidae
Description: ssa-miR-725-5p
Gene: ssa-miR-725-5p
Source: miRBase by way of RNAcentral